Long non-coding RNA from Zingiber officinale, 1015 nucleotides. RefSeq lists it as uncharacterized. The record is from RefSeq and is a predicted model, not a curated record. Lineage: Eukaryota; Viridiplantae; Streptophyta; Magnoliopsida; Zingiberales; Zingiberaceae. The transcript is spliced from 5 exons.
UCUCACCCGACCCAAGCCACGCCGCCCUUUCUUCUUACCCAUCUCGCCGAUUUCCUUUCUCCCCUUCGCUUCCUCGUGCCACCAUUCGAAGCCCGCAACGGCGUCGGUCGAUCGCCGACCUCGCUCACCCCGCACCGGCAGAGCCUCCCUCUCCCAUCAGCUCUUCGUCGCCGACCACCAACGCCACCCGACGCUAUGCCCUAGCAUGUAGUCGAGUCCACCUCUUCGUCACCGGCGCAGAUCUGGCCAUCGCCUUCACAGACUUAGCCGCGGACACCCAACCCUCGUCGGGAGCCAAGCACUCGAUCCCACCUUUCCGGCGGAGCCCUAGCCGUCACUGUGCCGCCGUGCGAUCAUGCCGGAUCUCGGCUUGAGGGCGUCCGAUCGCGUCAGUUUUGUGCGCCGCCGCCGUAUCAUCGGGUGCCACUGCCACCGGAAGGGAGAUUCGACGCAAAUGAAGACAGGGUUGUCCUUCUCCUCGCUUGAGGACCCAGCUGAGUAAGGGAGGUCACCACCGGAGGGAUCUCUGCUGCGGAGCCAUAGAACUCUUCCCCUAUCAUGCGGAUUCCUUCACUGGAGUGGUACCACGAUCCUUGUCCCAGCAAGCUCGCUAUCAAACAUGGAUGUGUUGCUAAGAUCCUAUGUUUGAUGAAAUGCCUAAUUCCUCGUGCUGUCUCUGUUCGCGUUGUCAACGCCGUCAUCGACCACCAUCCUUCAUGAGUAGUUGUGGGAUCAGUGAACAACCCGGGAGAAGAAUAGCGAGCAAAUGGCACUUAUAUCUAGCUUCGAUCAUUGUUGUGAUACCAUGCUCUUAUCGGAUCCAAGGUGAGAGUCUUACUUCUAUUGCUGUGGCGAUUAAAUAUCUUCAUCAUGCGGAGAAUCAGAUUUGGAUGUGGACUCGAGACGAGCGUCUUGAAGCGAGACUACUUGACACGAUCGACAGAUAAUGGCGGAUACAGGAAAGGAAAAGAUAUAGAAAGGAAGGCGACAAGGAGGUGUUCGAAGGAUGUGUGAU